This 240-nucleotide ribosomal RNA is filed under the name uncultured bacterium. Its description in RNAcentral is "partial 16S ribosomal RNA". It matches the Rfam family "Bacterial small subunit ribosomal RNA", at positions 15 to 246 of the family's 1533-position model. The record is from RNAcentral.
GAUCCUGGCUCAGGAUGAACGCUGGCGGCGUGCCUAACACAUGCAAGUCGAACGGACUUACAUUGAAGCCUAGCGAUAUGUAAGUUAGUGGCGGACGGGUGAGUAACGCGUGGGUAACCUGCCUUGUACGUGGGGGACAACAGUUGGAAACGACUGCUAAUACCGCAUAAGCGCACAGCUUCGCAUGAAGCAGUGUAGAAAAACUCCGGUGGUACAAGAUGGACCCGCGUCUGAUUAGCG